AGGCAGGAUCUACAAGUGCUCAGACAAGGGCUCCAGUGCAAGCUGUGGCAGGCACAGCCUCUGUCUUUCUUUUGUUGUUGCUGUAUUUCUUUGUGAUGAACCUGAAGAAAUCCCUCCAUAAUAAUUCAAACAUUAGCCAGUUCAUUCCAUUAUCCGUAGAAUUGCCCUUCUUCUGACUCGAGGCAGAAAUUGUACUGGACACAGUCUUCUUCAGCUCCUCAAACAUAAAACGGGGAGACAGGCAUCCCAUAGCUAACCACGGUGAGAUUUUACACGAGAAAUUAGCCCCAUAGAUGCCAUCCCGACCAGUAUCAUUGUGUCCUUUGUUUGGUUGAGCACAACAUUCAGCUGCAAACCUUUUAAGCCUCUCCAAUGCUUCGGUCUCCCCGCCCUUGAGAGCGGCAUUAACAGCGGAUUUUCCGUCCUGGGACAUCGUCGCCGCCGGAUUGAGCCCUAAAUCAAGCAAGCUGGGAAUCUCCCCGGGCUCGACAUCCCCCCUCGUCGGCAGUCCCUUAAUCUGAUCUGGAGCCUCGAUCGUCUUCCUCAUCGCCAACCCCUGCACCCUCUCCCUAA
RNAcentral lists this unclassified non-coding RNA (573 nucleotides) under Hevea brasiliensis (rubber tree). Lineage: Eukaryota; Viridiplantae; Streptophyta; Magnoliopsida; Malpighiales; Euphorbiaceae. The record is from RNAcentral.